Molecule: ribosomal RNA, 113 nt
Filed under: Pseudogymnoascus sp. VKM F-4516 (FW-969)
Lineage: Eukaryota; Fungi; Ascomycota; Leotiomycetes; Thelebolales; Thelebolaceae
Source: RNAcentral
ACAUACGACCAUAGACUCAAGAGCAUCCCGUCCGCUCUGCCAUACACAAGCUUGAGAUCGGUGGAUUAGUAGUUGGGUGGGUGACCACCAGCGAAUACCCACUGUUGUAUGUU